GAUGAACGCUGGCGGCGUGCCUAAUACAUGCAAGUCGAGCGAACAGACGAGGAGCUUGCUCCUCUGACGUUAGCGGCGGACGGGUGAGUAACACGUGGAUAACCUACCUAUAAGACUGGGAUAACUUCGGGAAACCGGAGCUAAUACCGGAUAAUAUAUUGAACCGCAUGGUUCAAUAGUGAAAGACGGUUUUGCUGUCACUUAUAGAUGGAUCCGCGCCGCAUUAGCUAGUUGGUAAGGUAACGGCUUACCAAGGCAACGAUGCGUAGCCGACCUGAGAGGGUGAUCGGCCACCCUGGAACUGAGACACGGUCCAGACUCCUACGGGAGGCAGCAGUAGGGAAUCUUCCGCAAUGGGCGAAAGCCUGACGGAGCAACGCCGCGUGAAUGAUGAAGGUCUUCGGAUCGUAAAACUCUGUUAUUAGGGAAGAACAAAUGUGUAAGUAACUAUGCACGUCUUGACGGUACCUAAUCAGAAAGCCACGGCUAACUACGUG
This 497-nucleotide ribosomal RNA is filed under the name uncultured bacterium. RNAcentral's name for it is "partial 16S ribosomal RNA". It matches the Rfam family "Bacterial small subunit ribosomal RNA", at positions 28 to 507 of the family's 1533-position model. The record is from RNAcentral.